GGAGGGGUGGCUGAGUGGUCAAAAGCAGCAGACUGUAAAUCUGCCCGCGUGAGCGUUCGUAGGUUCGAAUCCUACCCCCUCCACCA
This 86-nucleotide transfer RNA is filed under the name Rickettsiales bacterium. RNAcentral describes it as "tRNA-Tyr". It matches the Rfam family "tRNA". Rfam says of the family: Transfer RNA (tRNA) molecules are approximately 80 nucleotides in length. Their secondary structure includes four short double-helical elements and three loops (D, anti-codon, and T loops). Lineage: Bacteria; Pseudomonadati; Pseudomonadota; Alphaproteobacteria; Rickettsiales. The record is from RNAcentral.